Molecule: long non-coding RNA, 442 nt
Organism: Ornithodoros turicata
Lineage: Eukaryota; Metazoa; Arthropoda; Arachnida; Ixodida; Argasidae
Exons: 4
Source: RefSeq, a predicted model, not a curated record
ACCUAAAACGCAUUGAGUAGUUUCGGAUUCAAGAUCCAUUUAUGUUUAUUGUCAUCCACGCAGAUUGUACCAUCAUUCUGCGGCUCAAUCCAGCUGUGCUACUCCUUCUACGAUGACGCCAAGAAGGACGUUCCUGUGUUCAGAAAGAAACUUGCCGACUGUGUGAUGGACCUGUACGGCCUGGUCUCUCGUAUGAAACCGGAGUACGCUGAGGCACACGGUAGUGGUGUGGACGUUGCAAUUAAUGAUACUAAGAGCUGUGUGAAAGGAGAGUUCAUUCCCACGGACGUCAGGAUAACGCUGGCGAUGGUCCAGUAUUUGCGUUCAUUCCUCGGUUCGGGAGCACGGAUUGGACGCUGAGCCAUUCUCGACACCUUCUGGACGAAAUUCUAGCGUACGCAUAGGAAUUUGGUCACCAAUCAGACUGAUAUAGCCUUCUGUA